RNAcentral lists this ribosomal RNA (432 nucleotides) under uncultured bacterium. RNAcentral's name for it is "bacterial SSU rRNA". It matches the Rfam family "Bacterial small subunit ribosomal RNA", at positions 9 to 424 of the family's 1533-position model. The record is from RNAcentral.
GAGUUUGAUCAUGGCUCAGGAUGAACGCUGGCGGCGUGCUUAACACAUGCAAGUCGAACGGGAAACCUUUUAAUGAAGUUUCGGCAGAUUUAGCUGGUUUCUAGUGGCGGACGGGUGAGUAACGCGUGGGUAACCUGCCUUAUACAGGGGGAUAACAGUCAGAAAUGACUGCUAAUACCGCAUAAGCGCACAGGACCGCAUGGUCCGGUGUGAAAAACUCCGGUGGUAUAAGAUGGACCCGCGUUGGAUUAGCUUGUUGGUGAGGUAACGGCUCACCAAGGCGACGAUCCAUAGCCGGCCUGAGAGGGUGAACGGCCACAUUGGGACUGAGACACGGCCCAGACUCCUACGGGAGGCAGCAGUGGGGAAUAUUGCACAAUGGGGGAAACCCUGAUGCAGCGACGCCGCGUGAGUGAAGAAGUAUCUCGGUAU